GACGAACGCUGGCGGCGUGCUUAACACAUGCAAGUCGAACGGAAAGGCCCUGCUUUUGUGGGGUGCUCGAGUGGCGAACGGGUGAGUAACACGUGAGUAACCUGCCCUUGACUUUGGGAUAACUUCAGGAAACUGGGGCUAAUACCGGAUAGGAGCUCCUGCUGCAUGGUGGGGGUUGGAAAGUUUCGGCGGUUGGGGAUGGACUCGCGGCUUAUCAGCUUGUUGGUGGGGUAGUGGCUUACCAAGGCUUUGACGGGUAGCCGGCCUGAGAGGGUGACCGGCCACAUUGGGACUGAGAUACGGCCCAGACUCCUACGGGAGGCAGCAGUGGGGAAUAUUGCACAAUGGGCGGAAGCCUGAUGCAGCAACGCCGCGUGCGGGAUGACGGCCUUCGGGUUGUAAACCGCUUUCGCCUGUGACGAAGCGUGAGUGACGGUAAUGGGUAAAGAAGCACCGGCCAACUAAGUG
This 468-nucleotide ribosomal RNA is filed under the name uncultured bacterium. RNAcentral describes it as "partial 16S ribosomal RNA". It matches the Rfam family "Bacterial small subunit ribosomal RNA", at positions 28 to 507 of the family's 1533-position model. The record is from RNAcentral.